This is a long non-coding RNA of Mytilus californianus (California mussel), 252 nucleotides long. RefSeq lists it as uncharacterized. NCBI's taxonomy places the organism in Eukaryota, Metazoa, Mollusca, Bivalvia, Mytilida, Mytilidae. The record is from RefSeq and is a predicted model, not a curated record. The transcript has 3 exons.
AGGUCUAGUGAAAACGAACAACACAUCCAAGAAGGACGUGUAAACAUAAACAAUAUGAAUGGGUCAGCUGUUGAUGAAACUGGGUCAUUAGCUGCAUCUGCUAGUAGAGCAGAUGUAUAUUCUUCAAUUGAAAGACGCAUGCAAGAAGCAGACAGUUUUAAGGUGACAUACAAGAUCGCAGCAGAGAGUAAAAGAUGUAACAAAUCAGAACAUUCUGGGCACACAGACAGAGAGGGAAAUAAAAAAAACAAA